This 66-nucleotide transfer RNA is filed under the name Candidatus Bathyarchaeota archaeon. RNAcentral describes it as "tRNA-Pro". The record is from RNAcentral. Lineage: Archaea; Thermoproteati; Candidatus Bathyarchaeota.
CUGCCGGUCCUGGAACAUACUGGUCUCGGGCACCAGUGAUCGUGGGUUCAAAUCCCACCCGCCCCA